This 461-nucleotide ribosomal RNA is filed under the name Arthrobacter sp. S2.ACT.006. RNAcentral describes it as "bacterial SSU rRNA". It matches the Rfam family "Bacterial small subunit ribosomal RNA", at positions 17 to 488 of the family's 1533-position model. Lineage: Bacteria; Bacillati; Actinomycetota; Actinomycetes; Micrococcales; Micrococcaceae. The record is from RNAcentral.
UCCUGGCUCAGGAUGAACGCUGGCGGCGUGCUUAACACAUGCAAGUCGAACGAUGAUGCCCAGCUUGCUGGGUGGAUUAGUGGCGAACGGGUGUAAAAUAACGUGAGUAACCUGCCCUUGACUCUGGGAUAAGUUUAACCAAACUGGGUCUAAUACCGGAUAUGACUGCUCCGCGCAUGCGGUGGUGGUGGAAAGCUUUUGCGGUUUUGGAUGGACUCGCGGCCUAUCAGCUUGUUGGUGGGGUAAUGGCCUACCAAGGCGACGACGGGUAGCCGGCCUGAGAGGGUGACCGGCCACACUGGGACUGAGACACGGCCCAGACUCCUACGGGAGGCAGCAGUGGGGAAUAUUGCACAAUGGGCGCAAGCCUGAUGCAGCGACGCCGCGUGAGGGAUGACGGCCUUCGGGUUGUAAACCUCUUUCAGUAGGGAAGAAGCGUAAGUGACGGUACCUGCAGAAGA